GGUGCCGUGCCACCAGCAACGGAGCCCCACCAGGCACCGCACUGCGCCACUGCCCAUGGUGGACGCACGCCUCGCGGCGCGCCCACCCCGCCCGCGUGCCCCUGUCCGCCUCCCGUUUGCCGCCUCCACCGCAACGCGGCGCGCGGGGUGGCGGUGCCCUCGCGAUCCUCGUGUCGAUUCCAGCGGCGGGGGUACCUUUCCCUUUCCCUCCCCUGGCCGUUGCCCGCGCCUCGCGGUCGCGCACCGGAACCGGAGCCCCGCGGCGAAUCUAGGUUUGCCUCCGCCCCGCCCUCUCCUCCCGACACUCCCGGCGGCUGGAAUUAGGACGAGGGUAACAGGGGACGGAGGCUGCGAGGGACGCCCCCUCGUCGAAUGCACCGGCGACCGAUCUGUUGAGGAGCAGCCGGAGCACGCAGGAGUUGAGGGGAAAGCAUUGAAAAUGUCAUCUACUGUGCCGAAGUCAUCAAAUAUCUUCUGGCAUGAUUGUCCAGUUGGCAAGACUGAUCGCCAGAAGCUACUCAAGCAGAAAGGCUGUGUUGUGUGGAUUACCGGCCUUAGUGGUUCAGGUAAAAGUACGUUGGCAUGUACAUUAGGUCGGGAGCUCCACACAAGAGGGAAGCUUGCAUAUGUCCUUGAUGGUGAUAACUUAAGACAUGGUCUGAACAAGGAUCUUGGCUUUAACGCUGAAGAUCGUGCUGAAAAUAUAAGGAGAGUUGGUGAAGUAGCAAAGUUAUUUUCAGAUGCGGGCCUUGUAUGUAUUGCAAGUUUGAUAUCUCCAUAUAGGAGGGACCGUGAAUCUUGCCGUGCAAUGUUGUCUGAUGGUAGCUUUAUUGAAGUUUUCUUGAACAUGUCCUUGGAAUUGUGUGAAGCAAGGGAUCCAAAGGGCCUCUAUAAGCUUGCUCGUGCAGGAAAAAUAAAGGGUAAAGUUCAUAUGAUGGUUGGUGUCCAAAAUGGAAAUAGUUUAGAGUGCUUAGUGCUUCCUGCAGAGCAAAAUUGGUUCAAACCUGAAAUAUUUUUAAAUGUGAAUCCCAUUUCUGGCUUGUUUUGUAAUGUUAGGUUCACUGCCUAAAGAACAAUUUAAAAUACUAUUUGAGUCGAAUUAUGCUUUCUUUGGGAAGCAGCUCCUUAAUUCUGAUAUGAUUUUGCAGCUACAGUCAAAUUUUGAUGAUGCAUGUACUGUCAAUGUGAAAAUGAUUUAAUUUUCUCGAACAGGAAGGAGAGUCAAGAGUGUGUACCAUUAUAUUAAGAAUAAGAAAAAGGGUAUAAGAAACCCGUAGAACAGCCACUCACACCAGCACCUUUAGACUAAGACAAAAAUGAUCUUGACCUGGAUCUGAUAAUACACUACAAAUGGAACCUUAGGGAAUCAGAUUUUUUGGCCAUAUGCUAUGUUUAGAUUCUUCUAUUUGGUUCCUUGGCUAUACUGCAAUGACCAAUGGUGUUGCUGCUAGAAAAUGUGUAAGCUUGUAGGUUCUAUUUUGUUAAUAUGCUCUUUUUUCACAUUUGCUCACUCAUUGAUCAUGUUACUUCUGAAUGUUGAAUUUAAAUAAAUUCAACUGAUAUGUUUUGAAUCUUUACCAGACCUGAACCAUGGAGUUAGAGUUAGAGGCCAGUGCAUGGUAGGGCCCUUAAAUAUUUUCUUUUCAGGUGUCAGAAUGCCCAUUUGUAAGUUAGCUCAAAGUGUUCUCUAGUCGAGAAAUGGAAAAGCAGAAAAUGAGUAAGCCUGAAAGUUUUAACCAUUAAUCAUCUACUGUAAAAGGUAUCUUAUAUGAACAGAAACAUGUUCACUGCAAAAACUCCGUUGUGGGCAGGUCUUAUCUUCAUUUUUAAAGUCAACCUGUCUUGUUAACUCAUAUAGAGUUUAGUCAAGCUUCAAGUUUUAAACAUGGUUUGUUGCAGGUUUUACAGGAAUAGAUGACCCUUAUGAAGCACCACUGAAUUGCGAGAUUGAGAUCAAAGAAGCUGAUGGUGUAUGCCCUUCGCCUUCUGACAUGGCAGGGCAAGUGGUUACUUACCUUGAGGAGAAAGGCUUCCUGCACGAGUAGACUGAAUCCAAGCAACAUUCAGGGAAGAUUUCAAUCAGACUAGCGCAGAAUAAGUCAGACGCGCUGGCAGUUACCACAUAGUUACAUAGAUUGAUCUGAAUGCGUUAGUAUUUUUCUUUCCGCAAUUCCUCUGCCACAAAUUCCAUGCAGUUUCAUUCAGAUGAACCUAGAUGGUUCCUGAUUUCUUUGACUUCUGGAAUAGAUUACCUGUAUGCAAUUCUGAUAACCACUUGGGGGCAAUGGCAAUCAUUUUCAGGGGAAGGUACACCUAAUGUUAA
This is an RNA transcript of Sorghum bicolor (sorghum), 2323 nucleotides long. It is a transcript of the gene named adenylyl-sulfate kinase 3, with no coding region annotated. The transcript has 6 exons. NCBI's taxonomy places the organism in Eukaryota, Viridiplantae, Streptophyta, Magnoliopsida, Poales, Poaceae. The record is from RefSeq and is a predicted model, not a curated record.